RNAcentral lists this non-coding RNA (178 nucleotides) under pig gut metagenome. RNAcentral's name for it is "Lysine riboswitch". It matches the Rfam family "Lysine riboswitch aptamer". From Rfam's summary of the family: Riboswitches are metabolite binding domains within certain messenger RNAs that serve as precision sensors for their corresponding targets. Allosteric rearrangement of mRNA structure is mediated by ligand binding, and this results in modulation of gene expression. The record is from RNAcentral.
UGUAAGAGGAGCGGAUAACAUGAGUACGCGAACCAAAGAGGCGCCAUUCGGGGCGCGGGACGCGGAAAGGGUAUAUCCGCCGAAACGGAAUCGCCGCCGAAACAGGUUUUUCCGUUGGGCAUGAGGGACAACACCUUCAUGACUGUCAUCUCUCCCUGUCGGGGCGGGAUGGAGCACU